GAUCAUCGAAGGUGCUCGUUGACCCUUGCGAAAUUCAACCGACAAAUAACAUCCGGGAGAACAUAUUUUUAUUCCUAUGACAUGCCACUUUAGGUGGACUUCAGAAGAAUAAAAUGUGUCACCCACCUUGAGUGAGUGGCGGGUGUGAAUUUUGCAGUUAACGACAUCUUGGAUAUAA
Molecule: non-coding RNA, 178 nt
Filed under: Andreesenella formicacetica
Lineage: Bacteria; Bacillati; Bacillota; Clostridia; Peptostreptococcales; Natronincolaceae
Description: Clostridium formicaceticum 6S RNA
Rfam family: 6S / SsrS RNA
About the family: E. coli 6S RNA was the first non coding RNA to be sequenced, but its function was unknown until recently. It consists of 184 nucleotides that fold into an extended hairpin structure with a large single-stranded internal bulge.
Source: RNAcentral